CUUUGGCUUAUGGUGUGCGCAAUAGAGAUGUGUACCUGGCUUCCGAUGAAAGCACAUUCUGCCUGGUCCGCUCGACUUGACUACGCUCCACUUCAUUGAAUCAGUCGAGCUGAAUGAAACAAAAAAUGACAUUUUCCAGAUGUAUUUUGUCUUCAAAGAGCUGAGAUUCAAUGGCUGUUGCAGCUGCCUUCAAAAAAGACAGCCAGCAUGCAGAGGCCCGGAGCAUGUGGGAAGUUCUCAAGUGUGGCACCAGGCAUGUUUUUUGAUCUCACUAAGCUGCUGCCUAUCUCGAUCACACAGGUUCAUGGACGACUUACAGACAGAAGAACUUGAGGUGGAGUUCUUUUCCAGCACCAAAGACAUGGCUAUACCAUCAGUGAAAAGAUAGGACAAAGGAUUCUCUGCCCAGCUGAUUUUGCAGCGCUGUCCCCUCCUGCAGAACAGUUUUAGUCUUAAUAAAUCAAAUUGCACGUGCCCAAUGAUAUGUAUGCAUUUUCUCCUCCCAGUAUUGUGGCCGUUCUGAUAAUCAUCACAUAUUCUGCUUCAUCAUGAAGACAGUCACACUAAAUGGUUUGUGCUCCUUACUUGGCUCACUUAUUGUCAUGUCUGUGUAAUCAUGUUUUGUCUUAGUCAUGUUUUGUUUAGUUAUUGGACUCUUUAGUUUCUGGCUUUUCACUCCCUUGUCUUGUUUCCAUGAUUACCCAUUAGUUUCACCUGUUCCACGUUUGGACUCAUUGUGCACUCUUGUUUGUCACCAUUGCAACCCAUUAGUUUUCACCUGUCACGUCGCGCACCUGUUUCACGUUUUGAGUCACGCACCUGUUUUCGUUAAUCAUGUCUGUAGUACUUAAGCUCAUUGUUUUUCAGUUUGUCUUUCUGGUGACAUCCCCACAUUUAUGCUCUACACAUUUCUGACACUUUUUUCAUGUCCAUCGUUCACGCUGUUCCUUUUUGUCCAUGCCAAGUAAGUUUUGUUUAUUAUU
Long non-coding RNA from Nerophis lumbriciformis (worm pipefish), 983 nucleotides. RefSeq lists it as uncharacterized. NCBI's taxonomy places the organism in Eukaryota, Metazoa, Chordata, Actinopteri, Syngnathiformes, Syngnathidae. The record is from RefSeq and is a predicted model, not a curated record.